RNAcentral lists this microRNA (23 nucleotides) under Homo sapiens (human). RNAcentral's name for it is "hsa-miR-3605-3p". Lineage: Eukaryota; Metazoa; Chordata; Mammalia; Primates; Hominidae. The record is from miRBase by way of RNAcentral.
CCUCCGUGUUACCUGUCCUCUAG